CCUACGGGGGGCUGCAGUGAGGAAUAUUGGUCAAUGGGCGAGAGCCUGAACCAGCCAUCCCGCGUGCAGGAAGACGGCCCUAUGGGUUGUAAACUGCUUUUUUAUGGGAAGAAAAAGCUCUACGUGUAGGGCACUGACGGUACCAUAUGAAUAAGCAUCGGCUAACUCCGUGCCAGCAGCCGCGGUAAUACGGAGGAUGCGGGCGUUAUUAGGUUUUAAGGGUGUGUAGGGGGAAGAUUAAGGCAGUUUAGAAAUCUCACAGCUUAACUGUGAAACUGCCAUUGAUACUGGUUUUCUUGAGUAUAGUUGAAGUAGGCGGAAUGUGUAAUGUAGCGGUGAAAUGCUUAGAUAUUACACAGAACACCGAUUGCGAAGGCAGCUUACUAAGCUAUUACUGACGCUGAUGCACGAAAGCGUGGGGAGCGAACAGGAUUAGAUACCCCUGUAGUC
RNAcentral lists this ribosomal RNA (450 nucleotides) under uncultured bacterium. Its description in RNAcentral is "partial 16S ribosomal RNA". It matches the Rfam family "Bacterial small subunit ribosomal RNA", at positions 338 to 795 of the family's 1533-position model. The record is from RNAcentral.